RNAcentral lists this ribosomal RNA (254 nucleotides) under uncultured bacterium. RNAcentral describes it as "partial 16S ribosomal RNA". It matches the Rfam family "Bacterial small subunit ribosomal RNA", at positions 524 to 776 of the family's 1533-position model. The record is from RNAcentral.
UACGGGGGGAGCAAGCGUUGUUCGGAUUUACUGGGCGUAAAGGGCGCGUAGGCGGUCAGCACAAGUCAGUUGUGAAAUCUCCGGGCUUAACUCGGAAAGGUCAACUGAUACUGUGCGACUAGAGUGCAGAAGGGGCAACUGGAAUUCUCGGUGUAGCGGUGAAAUGCGUAGAUAUCGAGAGGAACACCUGCGGCGAAGGCGGGUUGCUGGGCUGACACUGACGCUGAUGCGCGAAAGCUAGGGGAGCGAACGGG